CAACUUUCAGCAACGGAUCUCUUGGCUCUCGCAUCGAUGAAGAACGCAGCGAAAUGC
RNAcentral lists this ribosomal RNA (57 nucleotides) under Agaricaceae sp. DK-06. RNAcentral's name for it is "Lepiotaceae sp. DK-06 partial 5.8S ribosomal RNA". It matches the Rfam family "5.8S ribosomal RNA", at positions 1 to 56 of the family's 154-position model. From Rfam's summary of the family: 5.8S ribosomal RNA (5.8S rRNA) is a component of the large subunit of the eukaryotic ribosome. It is transcribed by RNA polymerase I as part of the 45S precursor that also contains 18S and 28S rRNA. The record is from RNAcentral. Lineage: Eukaryota; Fungi; Basidiomycota; Agaricomycetes; Agaricales; Agaricaceae.